Molecule: non-coding RNA, 110 nt
Organism: Triticum urartu
Lineage: Eukaryota; Viridiplantae; Streptophyta; Magnoliopsida; Poales; Poaceae
Source: Rfam
AUUGUACUCCCUCCGUCCGAAAAAACUUGUCCCUCAAAUGGAUGUAUCUAGCACUAGUGCUAGAUACAUCCAUUUGAGAGACAAACUUUUCCGGAUGGAGGGAGUACUAC